This 463-nucleotide ribosomal RNA is filed under the name Intrasporangium calvum. RNAcentral's name for it is "bacterial SSU rRNA". It matches the Rfam family "Bacterial small subunit ribosomal RNA", at positions 433 to 906 of the family's 1533-position model. Lineage: Bacteria; Bacillati; Actinomycetota; Actinomycetes; Micrococcales; Intrasporangiaceae. The record is from RNAcentral.
CUUUCAGCAGGGAAGAAGCGAAAGUGACGGUACCUGCAGAAGAAGCACCGGCUAACUACGUGCCAGCAGCCGCGGUAAUACGUAGGGUGCGAGCGUUGUCCGGAAUUAUUGGGCGUAAAGAGCUUGUAGGCGGUUUGUCGCGUCUGCUGUGAAAAUCCGGGGCUCAACCCCGGACUUGCAGUGGGUACGGGCAGACUAGAGUGUGGUAGGGGAGACUGGAAUUCCUGGUGUAGCGGUGAAAUGCGCAGAUAUCAGGAGGAACACCGAUGGCGAAGGCAGGUCUCUGGGCCACUACUGACGCUGAGAAGCGAAAGCAUGGGGAGCGAACAGGAUUAGAUACCCUGGUAGUCCAUGCCGUAAACGUUGGGCGCUAGGUGUGGGACUCAUUCCACGAGUUCCGUGCCGCAGCUAACGCAUUAAGCGCCCCGCCUGGGGAGUACGGCCGCAAGGCUAAAACUCAAUA